UCAAACUUGGUCAUUUAGAGGAAGUAAAAGUCGUAACAAGGUUUCCGUAGGUGAACCUGCGGAAGGAUCAUUACCGAGUGGAGAGCCGUGUUGUUAAAUACAUUUCGGCUACACACAAUUUCAACCCAUUGUGAACAUUUUCCUGUUGCUUUGGCGGGACAUCAAAACAAUUUUAUUUCCUUCUGAUCUUGCUUUUGUCAGCCGGUACUAUUUCUGAGAGAAUCAGACUUUCGGAUGACUAAUUAAGGAUAAUGGAACGGAUUACUAUUGUUUUGGCUUGGGAGAGCGAGCAUUUUUUUAUGCAAGCUUUUUAAGUAAGGGCCCGCCAGAGAUUUUGACAAAAAGAACUCUUUUAUUUUUUUUUAAAUUCCUUUAUAAUUGUGAAAUUAUAAAAGUAAAAACUUUCAGCAACGGAUCUCUUGGCUCUCGCAUCGAUGAAGAACGCAGC
RNAcentral lists this unclassified non-coding RNA (448 nucleotides) under uncultured fungus. Its description in RNAcentral is "partial contains small subunit ribosomal RNA, internal transcribed spacer 1, and 5.8S ribosomal RNA". The stretch from base 1 to 73 matches the Rfam family "Eukaryotic small subunit ribosomal RNA", at positions 1759 to 1831 of the family's 1831-position model. The record is from RNAcentral. Lineage: Eukaryota; Fungi.